UAUACCACAUAUAUAUCUACAUUUUUUUUUUAAUUGAGUAGAAAUAUUCUUAUUAAGUUUUAAUUAUUGAUAGUUCUUCUUUUGUUAAAUGAGAAUUUAGCCCCGAUUAUACGUUACGUAAAAACGAUAGGGCCAAACAUAAUUUAUAUAAUACAAUAUACAUAGUUUAUAGUCGAUGUAAAAUUGUUGUUUAGUCAUGGUGAAAAAAAAUCCUACGAUUCUGAUCAGAUUACGUGGCCAUCGAAGUCUCUAUAUCAUUUUACAACCACUUCCUCGCCUCCUCAUUGCGUAUAAAAGGGAAGAGAAUAUAAUGAAUACUAUAUUAAUGAAUGUCUGUUCGUGCAUUUCGUGGCUAGUUUUAGAAAUUGUUUACGGUAAACGACCAAAAAUUAUGCGUAAGACGGAAAAUAACGAAUUUUUAAAUUUAUGAUAGCAGUAAAGACAUUAGUAAGAAUUUUUCUGGGAACGAUACGAUUUAAUGGAACUUCAACAACAAAAAAUAUUUAGAUAAUUGAAUUAUAAAACUUUAAAAAUUCUACACACGAUAUAUUAAUUUUGAUUCAUUAAGUUUUUCUUUUUUUUUUUUUACAAGUUAAAAGCGAAAAUUUAUUGAAAACGUUUGCUAGAAACAUAUUGCUUAAGUUGUAGUAUGUUGUAGCUUUUAAAUUUUAUCGCUGCUUUGCUUGGCUUCUCCAAAUAGCUACGGCAUAACUGUAACUUGUGUUCUAUUUUCAUAUUCGUAAAUCUUUUAAGAUGGAUCAAAGCAAAGGUUUUAACGAUAAUUUAACGCUUAUAACGUCGACACUCUGUUUAAAAAUAAUUAUCGCACGCAAACAUCGGAAGAAAGCACCCUGCAAUAAUUAAAACUAAUUUAAUAGAAAAUAAAGUUAAUUUUUUUCUUUUUUUUUUAUUAAAGAACGUAUACGCUUAAAAGAAGAUAACCGUUAAAAAUUUUCCAAGCAACAAGGUCGACGUUGGCUAGGGGGCAAAGAUUAUCAUAACAAGCUGACAAGUUCCUGUCCCAUUCGACCCAAUUUUUGUGCUUCUACGAUGUUUAUAAGGCAGGUGAUAUGACGUCACGGCUGCGACGCUCCACUACCUAGAAUAACAACGUCGAUCUCCGCAAUGAAAAGUAAUUCUGUUAGUUUCCGGCGCUCGUCCGAUCCGGUAGAGUGAGGUGGUCGAAAAUUCAUUACGUCAUCGGUGGGGUGCCGAGCGGUGGGUUCUUCUCUAUUGUGUGUUGCUAUGGUUACGGAGAAGGGAGACCCGAGCCGGCGGAAGAAUAUGUUUGUAUUUACAGUAUGUUGGAGCACGGCGGCUUAAUGUUGCCUUUCAAGGCCGAUUGGGAAGCUUGUCAACGCCAGUUUAAACGUGGUACGAACUAUGGAAUGUGUUUCGUUUGAUAACGGUGUGACUCCUAUGUGACAGUUCGUCCCUUCGAUUUUUCCUACGUUCUGCCAUCUCGUUUUAACGUCCGGAACGACAGUGCUACAUUGAUCCAGUACAAGACUCAACUGUCACUAUGCCAAGAAGGAUAAAAAUACAGUGAUGUUGUGGUCAUAAAUUUUCAAGUCAAUGAUGCGCAGGAUUUUUAAUUAUCUGUCUCGAUAUACUGCAUACGGUUGUUUUCAUAUUUUGUACAAUAAUCCAAGGAAAAUGAAGCGAUGAUGGAUCAUGAAGAAACGGGUGAAUCUGCCAUUAAUCUGUCCACCAACCACACAACUCGUUCCGCUUCGUCGCCGACACCUAACGGAAGCGUCGAUGUCAAAAACGGAGACGUUCAGACUUCCAAACCGCAGAGAUCUAAAUUAAGCCAUUCCUUAUCUGAUGGCUCUUCUCUGCUUUCCCUUUCUCCAUCAUUACUAAUGAUGAAUCCUCAAUUAUUGGUUCGUCAGCAAAUGCAGCAACUUCUUCAACAACAGGUUCUUUCACCAACUCAGAUUCAACAAUUAUUGCAUCAACAGCAAUCAUUAUUUUUACAACAACAGCAACAGCAGCAACAGUUAAAACAGCUUGAAUCAAUGAUACCUCAUCUUCCAGAACAACUGCAGCUAAACAUGGU
This 2062-nucleotide long non-coding RNA is filed under the name Androctonus crassicauda. The record is from RNAcentral. Lineage: Eukaryota; Metazoa; Arthropoda; Arachnida; Scorpiones; Buthidae.